UACGUAGGGGGCAAGCGUUGUCCGGAAUCAUUGGGCGUAAAGAGCGUGUAGGCGGCUCGGUAAGUCCGCUGUGAAAGUCCAGGGCUCAACCCUGGAAUGCCGGUGGAAACUGUCGAGCUAGAGUCCGGAAGAGGCGAGUGGAAUUCCUGGUGUAGCGGUGAAAUGCGCAGAUAUCAGGAGGAACACCGAUGGCGAAGGCAGGUCACUGGGCCGCAACUGACGCUGAGGAGCGAAAGCAUGGGGAGCGAACAGG
RNAcentral lists this ribosomal RNA (253 nucleotides) under uncultured bacterium. RNAcentral's name for it is "partial 16S ribosomal RNA". It matches the Rfam family "Bacterial small subunit ribosomal RNA", at positions 524 to 776 of the family's 1533-position model. The record is from RNAcentral.